GGAAGCGUGCCUGAGAAAAUAAGGACUACCUUGAUAGCGUAGACACGGACCACAAACCCACUUCCC
This 66-nucleotide transfer RNA is filed under the name Gloydius intermedius (Central Asian pitviper). RNAcentral's name for it is "tRNA-Ile". The record is from RNAcentral. Lineage: Eukaryota; Metazoa; Chordata; Lepidosauria; Squamata; Viperidae.